UACGUAGGGCGCAAGCGUUAUCCGGAAUUAUUGGGCGUAAAGAGCUCGUAGGCGGUUUGUCGCGUCUGCCGUGAAAGUCCGGGGCUCAACUCCGGAUCUGCGGUGGGUACGGGCAGACUAGAGUGAUGUAGGGGAGACUGGAAUUCCUGGUGUAGCGGUGAAAUGCGCAGAUAUCAGGAGGAACACCGAUGGCGAAGGCAGGUCUCUGGGCAUUACCUGACGCUGAGGAGCGAAAGCAUGGGGAGCGAACAGG
RNAcentral lists this ribosomal RNA (253 nucleotides) under uncultured bacterium. Its description in RNAcentral is "partial 16S ribosomal RNA". It matches the Rfam family "Bacterial small subunit ribosomal RNA", at positions 524 to 776 of the family's 1533-position model. The record is from RNAcentral.